This 486-nucleotide ribosomal RNA is filed under the name uncultured bacterium. RNAcentral's name for it is "partial 16S ribosomal RNA". It matches the Rfam family "Bacterial small subunit ribosomal RNA", at positions 30 to 507 of the family's 1533-position model. The record is from RNAcentral.
AUUGAACGCUGGCGGCAUGCCUUACACAUGCAAGUCGAACGGCAGCACGGGUGCUUGCACCUGGUGGCGAGUGGCGAACGGGUGAGUAAUACAUCGGAACAUGUCCUGUAGUGGGGGAUAGCCCGGCGAAAGCCGGAUUAAUACCGCAUACGAUCUACGGAUGAAAGCGGGGGACCUUCGGGCCUCGCGCUAUAGGGUUGGCCGAUAGCUGAUUAGCUGGUUGGUGGGGUAAGGGCCUACCAAGGCGACGAUCAGUAGCUGGUCUGAGAGGACGACCAGCCACACUGGGACUGAGACACGGCCCAGACUCCUACGGGAGGCAGCAGUGGGGAAUUUUGGACAAUGGGCGAAAGCCUGAUCCAGCAAUGCCGCGUGUGUGAAGAAGGCCUUCGGGUUGUAAAGCACUUUUGUCCGGAAAGAAAUCCUUGGCUCUAAUACAGUCGGGGGAUGACGGUACCGGAAGAAUAAGCACCGGCUAACUACGUG